Molecule: ribosomal RNA, 471 nt
Filed under: uncultured organism
Description: partial 16S ribosomal RNA
Rfam family: Bacterial small subunit ribosomal RNA
Source: RNAcentral
CACUCCUGCGGGAGGCAGCAGUGGGGAAUUUUGGACAAUGGGCGAAAGCCUGAUCCAGCAAUGCCGCGUGAGUGAAGAAGGCCUUCGGGUUGUAAAGCUCUUUUGUCAGGGAAGAAACGGUGAGAGCUAAUAUCUUUUGCUAAUGACGGUACCUGAAGAAUAAGCACCGGCUAACUACGUGCCAGCAGCCGCGGUAAUACGUAGGGUGCAAGCGUUAAUCGGAAUUACUGGGCGUAAAGCGUGCGCAGGCGGUUUUGUAAGUCUGAUGUGAAAUCCCCGGGCUCAACCUGGGAAUUGCAUUGGAGACUGCAAGGCUAGAAUCUGGCAGAGGGGGGUAGAAUUCCACGUGUAGCAGUGAAAUGCGUAGAUAUGUGGAGGAACACCGAUGGCGAAGGCAGCCCCCUGGGUCAAGAUUGACGCUCAUGCACGAAAGCGUGGGGAGCAAACAGGAUUAGAAACCCCAGUAGUCCC